This 435-nucleotide ribosomal RNA is filed under the name uncultured bacterium. Its description in RNAcentral is "bacterial SSU rRNA". It matches the Rfam family "Bacterial small subunit ribosomal RNA", at positions 74 to 507 of the family's 1533-position model. The record is from RNAcentral.
ACGGAGCAAUCCUGUGGCGAGUGGCGAACGGGUGAGUAAUAUAUCGGAACGUGCCCAGGUCUGGGGGGAUAACGUAGCGAAAGCUACGCUAAUACCGCAUACGAUCUAUGGAUGAAAGCGGGGAUCGCAAGACCUCGCGCGAUUGGAGCGGCCGAUAUCAGAUUAGGUAGUUGGUGAGGUAAAGGCUCACCAAGCCGACGAUCUGUAGCUGGUCUGAGAGGACGACCAGCCACACUGGGACUGAGACACGGCCCAGACUCCUACGGGAGGCAGCAGUGGGGAAUUUUGGACAAUGGGCGCAAGCCUGAUCCAGCAAUGCCGCGUGCAGGAUGAAGGCCUUCGGGUUGUAAACUGCUUUGUACGGAACGAAACGGUGAGCUCUAAUACAGUUUGCUAAUGACGGUACCGUAAGAAUAAGCACCGGCUAACUACGUG